RNAcentral lists this ribosomal RNA (2903 nucleotides) under Enterobacter roggenkampii UCI 39. Its description in RNAcentral is "bacterial LSU rRNA". It matches the Rfam family "Bacterial large subunit ribosomal RNA". The record is from RNAcentral. Lineage: Bacteria; Pseudomonadati; Pseudomonadota; Gammaproteobacteria; Enterobacterales; Enterobacteriaceae.
UUAAGCGACUAAGCGUACACGGUGGAUGCCCUGGCAGUCAGAGGCGAUGAAGGACGUGCUAAUCUGCGAAAAGCGCCGGCGAGGUGAUAUGAACCUUUGACCCGGCGAUGUCCGAAUGGGGAAACCCAGUGUGAUUCGUCACACUAUCGUUAACUGAAUACAUAGGUUAACGAGGCGAACCGGGGGAACUGAAACAUCUAAGUACCCCGAGGAAAAGAAAUCAACCGAGAUUCCCCCAGUAGCGGCGAGCGAACGGGGAGCAGCCCAGAGUCUGAAUCAGCUUGUGUGUUAGUGGAAGCGUCUGGAAAGUCGCACGGUACAGGGUGACAGUCCCGUACACGAAAACGCACAGGUUGUGAACUCGAAGAGUAGGGCGGGACACGUGGUAUCCUGUCUGAAUAUGGGGGGACCAUCCUCCAAGGCUAAAUACUCCUGACUGACCGAUAGUGAACCAGUACCGUGAGGGAAAGGCGAAAAGAACCCCGGCGAGGGGAGUGAAACAGAACCUGAAACCGUGUACGUACAAGCAGUGGGAGCACCUUCGGGUGUGACUGCGUACCUUUUGUAUAAUGGGUCAGCGACUUAUAUUCUGUAGCAAGGUUAACCGUAUAGGGGAGCCGAAGGGAAACCGAGUCUUAACUGGGCGUUAAGUUGCAGGGUAUAGACCCGAAACCCGGUGAUCUAGCCAUGGGCAGGUUGAAGGUUGGGUAACACUAACUGGAGGACCGAACCGACUAAUGUUGAAAAAUUAGCGGAUGACUUGUGGCUGGGGGUGAAAGGCCAAUCAAACCGGGAGAUAGCUGGUUCUCCCCGAAAGCUAUUUAGGUAGCGCCUCGUGAACUCAUCUUCGGGGGUAGAGCACUGUUUCGGCUAGGGGGCCAUCCCGGCUUACCAACCCGAUGCAAACUACGAAUACCGAAGAAUGUUAUCACGGGAGACACACGGCGGGUGCUAACGUCCGUCGUGAAGAGGGAAACAACCCAGACCGCCAGCUAAGGUCCCAAAGUCAUGGUUAAGUGGGAAACGAUGUGGGAAGGCACAGACAGCCAGGAUGUUGGCUUAGAAGCAGCCAUCAUUUAAAGAAAGCGUAAUAGCUCACUGGUCGAGUCGGCCUGCGCGGAAGAUGUAACGGGGCUAAACCAUGCACCGAAGCUGCGGCAGCGACGCUUAUGCGUUGUUGGGUAGGGGAGCGUUCUGUAAGCCGUUGAAGGUGGCCUGUGAGGGUUGCUGGAGGUAUCAGAAGUGCGAAUGCUGACAUAAGUAACGAUAAAGCGGGUGAAAAGCCCGCUCGCCGGAAGACCAAGGGUUCCUGUCCAACGUUAAUCGGGGCAGGGUGAGUCGACCCCUAAGGCGAGGCCGAAAGGCGUAGUCGAUGGGAAACAGGUUAAUAUUCCUGUACUUGGUGUUACUGCGAAGGGGGGACGGAGAAGGCUAUGUUAGCCGGGCGACGGUUGUCCCGGUUUAAGCAUGUAGGCGGAACGAUUAGGUAAAUCCGGUCGUUUAUUAACGCUGAGGUGUGAUGACGAGGCACUACGGUGCUGAAGUAACAAAUGCCCUGCUUCCAGGAAAAGCCUCUAAGCAUCAGGUAACAUCAAAUCGUACCCCAAACCGACACAGGUGGUCAGGUAGAGAAUACCAAGGCGCUUGAGAGAACUCGGGUGAAGGAACUAGGCAAAAUGGUGCCGUAACUUCGGGAGAAGGCACGCUGAUAUGUAGGUGAAGCCCCUGCGGGUGGAGCUGAAAUCAGUCGAAGAUACCAGCUGGCUGCAACUGUUUAUUAAAAACACAGCACUGUGCAAACACGAAAGUGGACGUAUACGGUGUGACGCCUGCCCGGUGCCGGAAGGUUAAUUGAUGGGGUUAGCGGCAACGCGAAGCUCUUGAUCGAAGCCCCGGUAAACGGCGGCCGUAACUAUAACGGUCCUAAGGUAGCGAAAUUCCUUGUCGGGUAAGUUCCGACCUGCACGAAUGGCGUAAUGAUGGCCAGGCUGUCUCCACCCGAGACUCAGUGAAAUUGAACUCGCUGUGAAGAUGCAGUGUACCCGCGGCAAGACGGAAAGACCCCGUGAACCUUUACUAUAGCUUGACACUGAACACUGGUCCUUGAUGUGUAGGAUAGGUGGGAGGCUUUGAAGUGUGGACGCCAGUCUGCAUGGAGCCGUCCUUGAAAUACCACCCUUUAAUGGCUGGUGUUCUAACGUAGACCCGUAAUCCGGGUUGCGGACAGUGUCUGGUGGGUAGUUUGACUGGGGCGGUCUCCUCCCAAAGAGUAACGGAGGAGCACGAAGGUUAGCUAAUCCUGGUCGGACAUCAGGAGGUUAGUGCAAUGGCAUAAGCUAGCUUGACUGCGAGAGUGACGGCUCGAGCAGGUGCGAAAGCAGGUCAUAGUGAUCCGGUGGUUCUGAAUGGAAGGGCCAUCGCUCAACGGAUAAAAGGUACUCCGGGGAUAACAGGCUGAUACCGCCCAAGAGUUCAUAUCGACGGCGGUGUUUGGCACCUCGAUGUCGGCUCAUCACAUCCUGGGGCUGAAGUAGGUCCCAAGGGUAUGGCUGUUCGCCAUUUAAAGUGGUACGCGAGCUGGGUUUAGAACGUCGUGAGACAGUUCGGUCCCUAUCUGCCGUGGGCGCUGGAGAAUUGAGGGGGGCUGCUCCUAGUACGAGAGGACCGGAGUGGACGCAUCACUGGUGUUCGGGUUGUCAUGCCAAUGGCACUGCCCGGUAGCUAAAUGCGGAAAAGAUAAGUGCUGAAAGCAUCUAAGCACGAAACUUGCCCCGAGAUGAGUUCUCCCUGAGACUUUAAGUCUCCUGAAGGAACGUUGAAGACGACGACGUUGAUAGGUCGGGUGUGUAAGCGCAGCGAUGCGUUGAGCUAACCGAUACUAAUGAACCGUGAGGCUUAACCUU